UUUCCAGAACUCUUCUGAUAUCCAUGUUGUGAAGACGAAUGGUGUUUCCAUCUAGAUCUCUGGUGUAUCCAUGUUCAUCUCUAUAUACGCCAUACUCAUCUUUCUCCUCCCAGUAGAAUUUCCUGGUACCGUGGGAAUCAAAGGCUCUUCUGCCGAAUUCUGGCUGUUUGUCGACCGAUGUUGGGACGUCAAUGUCGAUCGAUGGUCGAAUGGGAUUGCGAGACCUUAGUUUGAAACUUUUGUCUAUGCCACCAGCUGCGUCAUAGAUCUCGUUUGUAUCCUUUUGUUGGUAUUCUGGAAUGUUGCGUUGAUGUACGAACAAAUUUUCUGCUCCACUGGCUGUCUAAAAGAUGUCUGCAAUAUCUUUUCGAGAUACAUUCAGUAUACGUCCGUCUAUUGCUCUUGCGUGGCCAUCUGGGUCCCUGAAAAUACCAAAUUCGUCUGGAGUUAGAUACUCGUUAUUAAAUUUAUCUUUUUCGCUUACAGUAGUUUUUGGUUUAUAGCGGAUGUCGAUCGAUGUUGUAUGUGCAAGGUCGAUCGAUGUUGAAGGAGUUAUGUCGAUCGAUGGACGGCACGCUCUGCCGAUCGGAUGCAUGUAUCGUGUUCUUCCCCAAGCAUAUUCUGAUCGAUGUUGAGCUGUUUCAUCUCAUCUUUGCAUGUUGAGAAGUUCCUCAUAUGUGAAACCUUCAUGUAGUUCAUCUGUUCCUGG
RNAcentral lists this long non-coding RNA (709 nucleotides) under Brassica napus (rape). RNAcentral describes it as "long non-coding RNA (BNAP_LNC022078)". Lineage: Eukaryota; Viridiplantae; Streptophyta; Magnoliopsida; Brassicales; Brassicaceae. The record is from RNAcentral.